UACGUAGGGUGCGAGCGUUAAUCGGAAUUACUGGGCGUAAAGCGUGCGCAGGCGGCUUUGCAAGACAGAUGUGAAAUCCCCGGGCUUAACCUGGGAACUGCAUUUGUGACUGCAUGGCUGGAGUGCGGCAGAGGGGGAUGGAAUUCCGCGUGUAGCAGUGAAAUGCGUAGAUAUGCGGAGGAACACCGAUGGCGAAGGCGCUCUGCUAGGCCGCAACUGACACUGAGGGACGAAAGCUAGGGGAGCGAACAGG
This 253-nucleotide ribosomal RNA is filed under the name uncultured bacterium. RNAcentral's name for it is "partial 16S ribosomal RNA". It matches the Rfam family "Bacterial small subunit ribosomal RNA", at positions 524 to 776 of the family's 1533-position model. The record is from RNAcentral.